GACCUCAGGUGAUCUGCCUGCCUCGACCUCUUGAGUGCUGAGAAAUAUAGGCGUGAGCCACCACACCCAGCCCCAAGCAACUUUUUGAAGCAGGCAUUAUUACCAUGCCCAUUUUAUAGAUGAGAAAAGAGCUGGAUCCAGGUAACUUGUCCAAAGUUACACCCUAGGAAGUGUUAAGUCAGUACUUGAACCCAAGCAAUCUGGCUUCGCAACCUACACUCUUAGUCAUUAUUGUCUGUUACCUCUUAUGAGAAGUGUUUGAUUUGAGUGAUCAUUUAUGGAAGAAGCACUCAUAGUCGCUGUCAGGCUGUUGCAGUGGAGUUGUUAGAAGCACAGCUAUGCAUUGUGCGUCCGGCCAGUUCCGGGUCAUUUCUCAUCUUCUCUUCACCAGAGUAUAAAAGUGAGACUUGGCAAAAUGCUUUUGUAUCUUAAAUGGUAUUUUUGGUAGUAUUUGCUGGAAAAGAGGAAUUUUGCAAAGGUCCCCACCCACAUGGGCAGCCUGUCCCCCUUCUUGUACCACAAGUUGGGUCCUUGAGUGAGGCCUCACAAUGAGUCAGGACAGGCUGCUGAUCUCCCAGUUCAGGGCCCAGAACUGGCUGGCAGGGCUUCAGGGAGAGGGCCCAGCGGUGCUGGGAGCCUGACCCCUCCUGUCUGAGCAGGGCUGGGAGGGUGAUUGGGACACCUGUAUUUCAGGGCCUUGCUACAAGAUGUGUCCUGUUCAGGAUAUGCAAAUUCUCUACUGCUGCCUUAAGAAAUUUUGUUCUGUUUUGCUGAUUUUGCUGUUUUUCUAGUAGGCUUUUUUUUAAAAGUGUUUUUGUUUUCUCAACAGAUUUAAAAGAAGAGAUAUCAAUUUCUAUUAGUGGCCUAAGAACCUAGCUAAAGGGGAGUGCAGCUACAGCCACAGGCCACCAUUGGCUCCUGCCAGCAGGAGACCUGGUUUCUCAGUGCCCAGAAGGGCAACUUGUCACCAAGUGAGCCAGACGCCCUCCUGCUGCGCUGCAGGUUUAAUAUUUGGGUCAGAAUUGGCUCCAUUACCUUUAUUUUCAGCUACAUUUCUUCCAAUUUGAUUGGAGUGAGAGAAGAGCAAUGGGCUGCAGGAUUGUAGAGUGUCAACUGUUUUCUGAGGACCUUUUUCAGAUGUACAUUUGCUUAAAUCAUUCACUUCUGCUCCAAGUUUGAACAUGAAGUGCAGAGGCAGCACCGUUGCUAGCAUCUCAGCAGUGGGACGGAAUAAUAAGUUGACUAUGCAGAGUCCCCUGUUGAUUGCUUAAGUGUUCUCCAUUUUGUGUCCAUUAAUUAGUACUGUAGUUAUCACCGGCAGGGGACCUGGGAGUACUCCAUUUCCUGGGUCCCAUUGGACAGUGACGAGGUGGGGGAAGCUUCAGUGAAGGAGUGUAUUCAGGCAGAAGAUACACUUGAGAUUUUUGAGAGAAAGGAGUGAAAUCAAUGGUUUAUUUUCUUUGUGAGCAGAAUCAACGCAGUUGCACAGCACCACGUUUUCACAGUGUCCAUCUGAGGAGAGGAAUCAGAGGGUGGAAGGCUGCAGUGGCUGCAUGCGACUCAAAGGGUUUGCCUUGGGAGUGAGUGGGCACCCUCUGUGUGUGGCCAGUUGCCUGCCCCACCCCACCACCUGCAUGUGGAAGGCAGGUUACCAUCUUAAGUAGAAAUGUCCAUGGAUUGGAUAAUGUCAUGGAUGUUUUUGAUUAAAUAUUUUGACUCUUUCAUGAAACAUUACAGCCUUCUUCUGGUAAUUGGUUAGUUAUAGCUCAGUGCAGCCAAGUUGGCACAUACUUGGUUUCUUUGAGCAAAUCUUGCCUGUUCAGUUAAUUUAAGUCCAUCCUUAUAACCAGGGUGAUAAUUCUGUCCAGAGCGUUGCUGUUGACGUGAAGCCCUCCAGUGUGUCCUCUUUCAUCUGCUCCUCGUAGCGACGGCCUUAGGUGGCAUUGGCAUUCCUAGGAUCCCUGUUUUAGCAAACCGAGUCUCUUGAGAAAUUAAGUGAUCUCUUAGGUCACACAGCUAAUGCUUCGUAAAGCAUUUCCUAAAUCCAGAUCGCCUUACUCUAAGUCUUAUAAUACUGUUACUACUAUACCAUGUGACUUAGCAACUUAGAAUGUUUUUCAUGGGAAAUGUUAGUGCAAAUUGAAAGAGUCCUUCAUGCUAUGAUCUUUCCUGUUUAUAAAUGCAGCUGCCAUGUUCAUGAGAAUUUAGAGGAAAACAAAAGAACAAGAAAGCAUCUUAUUGAUUAUAGACCCUUUAUAGAUGGUGCAGGGCAUCAGUUCAUAUUUGGUGAGUUGAUGAGUGGCAUUUUCAUGUGGAAUUAAAUAUUGAUGCCAGCUGUGGAGAAGUAUUCUUUCUGAUACCAGCUUUCGGGCGUAGCACUUCAUCACCUGGGGCUUCUCUUCCUUAAUCUAGAGAAUGAAAAUUUUGAACUGGCCUGUCUCUGAAACCCCAUUGAUUAAAAUUCUUGAACUGUAUGAAAUUUGAUAACUUAGACACAAAAAAUAGGUGGACAAUAUGAGAAAAGUUAACAAAUGUUUUAUUUACUUUAAUAUUUUCAGUAAAAUUAAUUCUUAGGACCCUGAGUAACAGGACUGAAAAAUAACUUCGUUGCCAGCACUUUUCUUAUUUUAAAAUUGGCCUGCUGUAUUUUGAAUGUGUAUUGACCUGCAAAUAACAAUAAAAGUAUAUUUUAUGUGUGUAAAUAUUGCUCAGGGAACAAAUUGUCGUAUGGAAUUGAUACUAAGAUUUUCUUUGUUACAAAUGGAAGUCAGUUUCUCUAUGCAUAUAUCCAAGAAACAAAGUCAUCUGGUAAUAGUGUGUUUUUAAAGAUAUGUUUGACAGCAAAAGAACACUUAAAAGCUUUGCUUGGAUUUGCCAUCAUUAGUAAUUAGGGAAUUGCAAAUUGAAACCAUAGUGAGAUAUACCACUCAUUUAGAUUGGCUUAAGUUAAAAAGACUGACCACGUCAGUUAUUGGUGAGGAAGUGAAGGAAUUGAAACUCUCAUACACUGCUGGUGGGAAGGUAAAAAUGAUACACCACUUUGGAAAAACUUGACAGUUUGGUAGGAAGUUAAGCAUACACCUACCAUAUGAUCCAGCCAUUCUACACCUAGAUAUUUAUCUAAAAGAAAGGAAAUCAUAAGUUCAUACAGAGGCUGUGCCCAAAUGUUUAUAGCAGCUUUGUUUGUAGUGGCUCCAAACUGGAAAUAACCCAGAUGUCCACCAGCAGAUGAAGGGAUGAAUGGUGGUUUCACACAUACAGGGACUGCUAUUCGACAGCGAAAAGGAAUGAACCCUUGAUACACACAGUAGUGUGGAUAAAUCUCAGGGUAAUUAUGCUGAAUGAAAGAAGCUGGACAGAAAAAAAAAAAAA
This is a long non-coding RNA of Cercocebus atys (sooty mangabey), 3372 nucleotides long. RefSeq lists it as uncharacterized. Lineage: Eukaryota; Metazoa; Chordata; Mammalia; Primates; Cercopithecidae. The record is from RefSeq and is a predicted model, not a curated record. The transcript has 2 exons.